Molecule: long non-coding RNA, 568 nt
Filed under: Homo sapiens (human)
Lineage: Eukaryota; Metazoa; Chordata; Mammalia; Primates; Hominidae
Description: HSALNT0056947
Source: RNAcentral
GUUCUGAAUAUUUUUAACGUACAUUUUAAGAUGAAGGAGCUCAGCCAGAGUAUGACUUACCUACUGUUAUAGUUGUCUGAAGAGCACACGGAUCACGAGGUCAAGAGAUCGAGACCAUCCUGGCCAACUUGGUGAAUCCCUGUCUCUACUAAAAGUACAAAAAUUAGCCGGGGUGGUGGUGGGCGCCUGUAAUCCCAGCUACUCAGGAGGCUGAGGUAGGAGAAUCGCUUGAACCCGGGAGGCAGAGGUUGGAGUGAGCUGAGAUCGCACCAGCGUACUCCAGCCUGGCGACAGAACGAGACUCUGUCUCAAAAAAAAAAAAAAAAAAAAAAAAAAAAGAAAGAGGUGACUGAUACAGAGUACAUGAUGAUGCAAUAUUAAUUACAAUAUUAUGUUCUCAGUGAAGUUUUCUCUGGCCAAUGACAUCCUCCCUGACCAUCUUCUGUAAUAAUAUAACCACACUGUUAAUCCCUUCCCUUACUAACCUGUAUCAUCAGACGACAUUAUACAUUUUCCUUCGUAACUCCUAUUUCCUCUGAGUGGAUAGUAAGCUCCAUGAAAGCAAACA